Molecule: ribosomal RNA, 465 nt
Filed under: uncultured bacterium
Lineage: Bacteria
Description: bacterial SSU rRNA
Rfam family: Bacterial small subunit ribosomal RNA
Source: RNAcentral
UGGGAAUCUUGCACAAUGGGCGAAAGCCUGAUGCAGCAACGCCGCGUGCGGGAAGACAGCCCUAGGGUUGUAAACCGCUUUCAGCAGGGAAGAAACUGACGGUACCUGCAGAAGAAGAUGCGGCCAACUACGUGCCAGCAGCCGCGGUGACACGUAGGCAUCAAGCGUUAUCCGGAUUUAUUGGGCGUAAAGAGCUCGUAGGCGGUUCGGUAAGUCGGGUGUGAAAACUCUGGGCUCAACCCAGAGAGGCCACUCGAUACUGCUGUGACUAGAGUGCGGUAGGGGAGCGGGGAAUUCCUGGUGUAGCGGUGAAAUGCGCAGAUAUCAGGAGGAACACCAGUGGCGAAGGCGCCGCUCUGGGCCGUAACUGACGCUGAGGAGCGAAAGCAUGGGUAGCAAACAGGAUUAGAUACCCUGGUAGUCCAUGCCGUAAACGUUGGGCACUAGGUGUGGGUCCACAUCACG